AGAAACGCGCGUCUCGGAGGGAAAAUGAAAUCCCCAAAUUUUUUAAACCCCCACCUUCUUCUCCCUCGUCUCCACCCCUCAUCCACAUCCACUACCUCCAAUCCUCAUUGCCUCUUCUAGCCUCAAACUGUGGCGAUGCACCUUCCUUCUCGAAGAAUGCUUCAUUUACCACCAUUGUCCGAUUAUGUGAGCCCAAGGAAUUGACGUAGACGAAGAAAAUUAUAGAUCAAUCGCUUCACAUCAUGUUUAAGGUUAAGGUUUUGAGAUUUCUUCCAAAUCGACCUCACACUAAAUGGUUCGAUCUCCUCUCUUUUUAGAUUGUUCCCUCAACUGAUGCCUCCACCUUCUACCAUCGAUGUUGAUCUUUGAAUUAGCAACAAGAAGCCCUAGGGCCUCCGCCUUCACCCACGUUCUCACAGUCGAUCGUGAAUCGGUUUUCAGUUUCUUCCAAGAUUCAGCCAAUACAGAGGUAGAGGUAUGUUUCGAUUUCGUAUCAAAAGCCUUCACCUUCAGGUGGAACAAAAACCUAGGGAUCAAUUCGAUUAAUCAGUAGCAAAAGUCAGACGUAAUCUCAAAACUUGGCAUGGAAAGAGUCUUGAAAUCCACUUCAGGUUCGUUCAUUAAGUUGCUACUCUCAUCGACACACAAUUAAAUAAGUACCAGCCAAAUAUGCUACAAUAGAGGAUGGUUUCGUGGGUUCUUUCACCUUUACACCAACGAUGGUGGAGCUAGAGAGAGAGCUUAUGGUGUGUAAAAUAAAACAUUCUUACACUAGGGGAUUCAAAUAAAUAGCAUAACCCAAACCCUUUAUGGUAAUUGGGAGCCAAUCAGGGCCAAACGCAACCCUCAGACCACUUUUGCUCUUAAGAAACCUACGGUCGGACAAUUGGUAACCGUGCGGGUGUAAUCGGAUUUUUGUACACUGGUAUGGAGAGCGGGAUGGUUAAGGCUAGGGAUGCAGAUGAUAUUAUUAACAGCGUGGUGGCUGGAUUAGCGAUCGGAGCGCUUUACAAGGCGGAGACUGUUACCAGAGCUAUUGGUGGAAUAGCUGUGGGAUUAGCCAUGACAGGGAAGCAGAUUUUGAAGAGAUACAUACCAAUCUGAGCUUGAUCUGUAUUCAAUUUCAUCUUUACGUUUUUCUACAUUGGUGGAAUAGCGGUGGGAUUAGACAUAUGGUGUAUGUUUUGCUUAUAUACAACAAGAAAGAGAAAUAUAAGUGACUUGAAGCAUCAGGUAUCUUUUCUUACAAAUUCAUAUUAUCUCACUAAUAGAAAAAACAGUGAUCUAAUAUGGUUGAAUAUAUACAUAUAAUACAGAUGAUGAACCGUAUUAGAGGGGAGUAUUAGAUUAAGCAACCUAAUAGAGUAUGGUUAUUUAACCGUACUCUAUAUCCCAUUCUAGCCAUAAAUCAAAACUUCAGAAACACAAUCUAAUACGGUGGUUAUUUAACCGUACUAUAUUACACAUACUUAACUACAAUCUAAUACAAUCACAUAUGCAUAUAACCAUACUAUAUUACACAUACAACAGUACUAUAUUACACCUACAACCGUACUAUAUUGCACAUACAUAACUAAAAUCUAAUACAAUCACACUAUAUAUGAUUGAUUCCCUAUCAGGUGAUCACCUACUAACAUACAAUGGCAUACUAAGAUCCUUACUUUUAGUGUUCCAUCAGGUGAUCACCUACACUGCUAGAAAACAGGAAAGUUUUCUACUCUAAUGAAAUAAGUACAUGUCUUUAACACUAGAGCAGGGUUCCAUCAUCUCCAAUUUGGCUGCAAUACGUCCAACAUAACCUUCCACAACAUUGUUGAGAUAAACAAAAGGUGUGUUUCCGAUCAACUGCAGGUAUAAACAAAGAUCUGUUUGUUAAUACCUUGGGAAAAAUAGCUGACAUACGAUCCAAAAACUUACUUCUGUAAUAUCCACAAACUGCAGUUCCUCCAAAAGACACAAUGUUUGUAACCAUGAGAGAGAGAGAGAGAGAGAGAGUGUGUGUGUGUGUGUGUGUGUGUGUGUGUGUCAUACAUCUUAUGAUAAGCGACCAGGUAAUAUGUUUCUCAUUUCUUGUGAUUUCCGUUUUUGCCCUUGUUUACAUUUCAUUCAUAAACCAGGUUCCAUCUUAUUGGAUUUUCAUUUCUGGUUACUCUCUUUCUAUUGAUGAAUCAAGUAUGACUGGUGAGAGUCACACUGUUGAUUUAAUGGUUGGGUGCAAGGUGGCUGAUGGCUGUAGUACUAUGAUGGCUUCCAUACUCAAUGAGAAAAAUGAUGUCUGACAAAGCAUUGAUUAGGCUAUCUGCCUGUGAAAUGAUGGGUUCUGCAACUACAAUUUGUCGUGAUAAAACUGGAACCUUGAAUUUGAAUUUGUGGGAUAUUUUUCUUUUCUUGAUGACUGGUCGAGGCUUAUAUUUGUGGGAAGAAAAAUGAUCCACCAAAUGACACGUCAGCAUUACCUCCAAAGAUUGUAUCUCUUCUUGUUGAAAGUGUAGCUCACAAUACAACAAGCAGUGUAUUUUCCCCUGAGCUUGGAAUGAAUUUUGAUGUCGUGAGGUCAGAGUGUUCAAUUAUUUAUGCAUCCCCAUUCAACUCAGAGAAAAAACAAGGUGGUGUUGCAGUCAAACGGAUAAUUGUAUGGAAGCAGUCUCUCUACCUUCUCCUUUCCGAAAAUAGUUUGUGCUUUAUGUAUUUUGUUAUUUGGAUUAGGAAGAUUUGUUUUUCUAGUUUGACUCAUGUUAAUAAAAUAACAUUUAAAUGUGAUUUAUUUUGAAUAUUAGUACAAUUAUUUCAUGAAA
Molecule: RNA transcript, 2795 nt
Organism: Lactuca sativa (garden lettuce)
Lineage: Eukaryota; Viridiplantae; Streptophyta; Magnoliopsida; Asterales; Asteraceae
Source: RefSeq, a predicted model, not a curated record